CCACAGAUCAAACGUGGGUGGCCUGCGCCCGCAGGUUGAGAUAUGACCGUAGCAGCUCCGCCRGGAGUCUGGUAUGCUAGUUCCGUAGGUGAACCUGCGGAAGGAUCAUUA
RNAcentral lists this ribosomal RNA (111 nucleotides) under Caloplaca stillicidiorum. RNAcentral describes it as "partial 18S ribosomal RNA". The record is from RNAcentral. Lineage: Eukaryota; Fungi; Ascomycota; Lecanoromycetes; Teloschistales; Teloschistaceae.